CGCAGCGCGAGGCGGCCGGCAGCCAGAAGCGCGCGGCCCCGGCGCUGCUCGCGGAGCGGGAGCGGGGCAGGCGGCUGCGGGCAGGCGCCCAGUGAGCGGCGGAGGCGGCGGGACGCCUCUGGGAAGGCUCCGGAGAAAGUCUGCAAAGAUGGAUCAUUAACAGAAGUUGUGAAAAACGCAUGCAUAUUUGUCAGCAGACAAAAGAUUUUACUCCUGAAAAGGAAAAUAAUAAAACCUGUUAAGCUGCAACAAACAACUUACAAGUUAGCGAUACAGCUCUAAAAUUAUUCAGUAAUGUUGCAACAGAAUGGGUCUUCACUUGAAAAGGUGACAAAGGGGAAAUAUUGGAGGAAGAAAGGGAGAUGAAGAACAUUGGAUUCUGCUUUUCAUAUAGCCUGGAACUGACAGUUCUUUGUUGCAUGCAGUCCAUGGAAGCCCAUCCAUUGCUGCAGAAUGUGUCCUUAUGAGCCUGAGUGAUCCAAGCCUCCAGGAUUUUACUCACUGUCCAUCCUGUUCAAGGAAGCGUUUCAGGUGCACCAGUGACUGAGUUCUGAGUGACUCUGCCUUGGCCUGUGGCUUUUUCAGUUUUGUAUCAGUGUAACCAAGACGGGAAUCAGCCCAUGGUUUCCCUCCGAUGCAUUGAACCAGUUUUGGCAUCGCGCAGCUCUUCGUACAAAGAUCCGGUGCCUUACAGCAGAGUACCAGGCUGCAGGAGGUUUGUCCAUCUUUCCUUUGGGAUCUAUUUAAACAUGGUGUUUGCUUAAAGAAAAAUACAUUGCUAGUUCCAAUUAGAUAACUGAAUCAUUCUUUUUCUUCCAUCAGAAAUUUUUGUUUAUUUUGUUUUCACUUCUAAGGGCCCAGCUUCUAAAGCAUAAUGGUGCGCAUCGAAUUAAGUGGGCUCUUUGUGAGACUGAGCUCUGAAAUUAUAAAUACCAUCUGAGUUUGUAAGCAAGUUAUAUUCUUCAGAGAAAUUUGCACUCCUCCAUUUUUAAAAUGGGGAGAAAAUGGAAUUUGCAUCAUCUGCCAAGCUCAGCGCUAUAGCUGUCUCAUGAGCCUCUUCCUGGGAGAAGCAGUAAAAAAGGCAGAAUUGAAGGAGAGACGGAGCAAAGGUGGUUGGUUGCCACUUGCCUGUGUCUUGUCUUCUGAGGAGAGCUGCCGUUUUCCCCCACAAGAAACCAGAGCAGUUCAUUACAUGCUCUGCAGCCCGCGUCACCCGCAGUAGCUGCAGUCACGCGCCGUCGCCCUGCUCACUGCAGCCCGAUACCCGUUCCUGCAUCCUGGCCGGGGAUGCAGCACGUGCUGCACUGGUCACCGCAGGGGAAACCCUCAGGGGGGAGCUUGUCCCAUCCUGCACACCCCGGAACGGGACCGUUGGUCUGUCCUUGGGCAGGGGACACAAGCCAGAGCCACUCGCUCCUCUUACAUUGACAGGAAUGGGAGAAAUUCUGCUGCUUUCGUUACUUUGGAAGAGGCGGAGAUGUUUGACCUGCUGGUUCUUGCUGCUUUUUUUUUUUUUUCCCCCCUAUUCUUUUCCCAGAAAAAUAACUUGGACAGCUGGAGCACUCAGAAAGGGCCUCUCUUUUCAUCCCAAUUAAUUAUGCAGCUGAGUCCGUGGUCUUUGAUGUUGUUGCUGUGAACACUGAUAAAACUUGAGGAGCUUUAGAGCAUGAAAGUUGCUGCAACCAGUUUUUCUUGCUGUUCAUGUGUCAAUACCCUAUCGAGUCAGCAAUUAUCUUAAACCUUUAUUGCAAGUCAAUGCAAAAUAAAGGAAAAAAUUCUCUGUAAUCAUUUUUUAUAAGGCCCUUCUGCAAGAUUCCGCUCCACAUGCAAAUUCACGUGUGCUUGCUGGGUUUCAUAGCAUUCCUGGAAUUACCGCUUAGAAUGUUUUUACUGUUAUUUCAGGUGCUGGUGAGAUACCCUGAUAAGGUUGGGAUUUAGGAGGGAAGGGCACAUCCACCCAGAGACACUUCUCACCGCACAGUGCCUAGCGUCGCUGGCAGAUUUUACCAUUCUGCGUGAUAUUGCCUCUUUUUGCAUUUGUAAUAAUAUGGCUCUUUAACAUACUGGGGAAAAAAAAAAGGUUCUGCAUUUAAAAAUGCCACAAGGAGUGAAGAUUAAGAAAGCAAGUGCAGACGCCCAGCUGUUGAAAGCAAAAGCAGUAUGAAAUUGGGGGUGGGGGCCAGAAUUAGCAUUCUCCUCACACGCUCACCGCCUGCUCUAAUCACAAUGCAGGCAUUAUCAGCGAGCGUUGAAUCUUUGUAUUAUUUCCAAGUUUCCCCUAUUGUCAGUCAUUGUGACAAAGUGCAGGACGAUCUGACACAAUGAUGAAUCACUCCAGACAUUGAGUUUUCACAUGGCUGUCAGAUGAUCUCAGUAGGCUGUGUCACCUGAAAAUGCCACAAGACUAAAGCCGUGUUGUACUUCAGAACAAAAAAAGGAGUUUGGUAUAAACUCCACUGAUUCAGGACAUAAACACGGGAGUCUGGAGGGCUGGCUCAGAUUUCUCUUACCCAGGAAAUCUCUGCAUUUUCAUCCAGUGUGAAUGCAAUCAGAAUCAGAGCUCAGGAUUUAUUAAAAUGUCUUGCAUGCAAACCAGGAAGAUAUGUUGUUUGGCUUUUUAAAUUAAAUCCCUGCAUGGAAGGAUUUGCACUGUGCAUGUUUUUUAAAAUACUCUGUUCAAGAUGUAACGCCUAUCAAAGCGUAGGGUAUUUUAUCCUAAUAGUUUCAGUUGCAUAUAUAAAAAUGAGUUUCUUGCAGUUUCUUUUUCCUGCAUGGCAAAGUUAUCUAGGAGGCUUUUU
Long non-coding RNA from Grus americana (Whooping crane), 2798 nucleotides. RefSeq lists it as uncharacterized. The transcript has 6 exons. The record is from RefSeq and is a predicted model, not a curated record. Lineage: Eukaryota; Metazoa; Chordata; Aves; Gruiformes; Gruidae.